Molecule: microRNA, 22 nt
Filed under: Hydra vulgaris (swiftwater hydra)
Lineage: Eukaryota; Metazoa; Cnidaria; Hydrozoa; Anthoathecata; Hydridae
Description: Hvu-Mir-3003-P2_3p (mature (guide))
Source: RNAcentral
UUAAAUGUGCCAACUGGUAAUG